CCUGAAGUUAUUUUUGACCUUGCCCAAGGGCCCUAAGUGAUUUUCCGGUGUGGCUUGGUUUUGAACGGAGGAUCCUCUGGUCUGAAACCCAACAUUUAACCACUAGACCAUCAC
Long non-coding RNA from Thalassophryne amazonica, 114 nucleotides. RefSeq lists it as uncharacterized. The transcript is spliced from 3 exons. The record is from RefSeq and is a predicted model, not a curated record. Lineage: Eukaryota; Metazoa; Chordata; Actinopteri; Batrachoidiformes; Batrachoididae.